UACGUAGGGGGCAAGCGUUGUCCGGAUUUAUUGGGCGUAAAGAGCGUGUAGGCGGCCAGAUAGGUCGGUUGUGAAAACUGGAGGCUCAACCUCCAGACGUCGACCGAAACCCUCUGGCUAGAGUCCGGAAGAGGAGAAUGGAAUUCCUGGCGUAGCGGUGAAAUGCGCAGAUAUCAGGAAGAACACCCGUGGCGAAGGCGGUUCUCUGGGACGGUACUGACGCUGAGACGCGAAAGCGUGGGGAGCGAACAGG
RNAcentral lists this ribosomal RNA (253 nucleotides) under uncultured bacterium. RNAcentral's name for it is "partial 16S ribosomal RNA". It matches the Rfam family "Bacterial small subunit ribosomal RNA", at positions 524 to 776 of the family's 1533-position model. The record is from RNAcentral.